GGGGUGUUUAAGAAGUUUUCAAGGAUAAGUGUUGUUGAUAGACUAGGGAAGUAGAUGCUGAGGCACUUGCUGUGCUCUCGUCAGCACAUCGCGGUAUACAGAAGCACAUAAGAACAUAAGCACCGCCGUGGGUGUAACCCGUGGCUGAUGGCCUUAGCUACAGGUUCUCUGUAGAUGAUUCUUUAGGCUGAGAAAUGUUCUCUUUAUUUCCAACUCCUUGAGUGUUUUUACCAUUAAGAGAUGCAGGGCUUUUGUCAAAUGCAAUUUCUGUCUCUACUGAUAUCACAGUAGUGACUUUGUCUUUUAAUGUAUUAAGAGGACAUAUUGAGUAAUUUUCAUGUUAAAGCCCACCUUGCAUUUUGGGAACGCAUUUUUGUUGGUCACUGUAUGUCUUCUUAUUUGUUACUGGAUUCAAUUAGAUGUUAUUUUGUUGAGGAAUUUAGUAUUUGUUUCCACGAGAGAGAUUCCAUUGUGGUUUCCUUUCUUGAGAUGUCUUUGGCUUUGGUUUCUGUAUCAGGAUAAUACUGGCUUCAUGAAACAAACGUGAACAUGCUUUUUCCUCUUCUUUUUAAUUAUGUAAAACGGUAAAAUAUUGACGUCCUCCCACCCCACCCCACUUCUCUCCCAGUGGGAUGGAACCCAUGGCCUCACACAUGCCGAGGAAGCUGUAUAGCACCACUAAACUACUUGCCCCCAAUCUUUAUUUACUUUUUUAUUUUGAGACAAGGGCUUACAGCUUACCAAACUGUCCAGGCUGGCCUUGAUCUCAUUCUGUAAUCCAGGCAAACCUGACACCCACUACUUUUGUGCCUCAGCCUCCUGAUUGACUGUAAUAAUAGGCAUGUGCAAGUUGGCUGCCAUGAGAACAGCCAUCUCCUGUAUUCUCAAGAGUACCCUGCCCGUUCCUCCUCAUCUGAUGCUGGAUACUGGCAACCGCACUCUCACCCAGCUCCCAUGGCUGGCUUCCUAAGCCACCCAACACCCAUCCCUCCUGAGAACACCUGUAUUUCCACCAAUGACUGCCCUGGAGGUUGGCUCCUCUGACUGCCAAAGACCACUUUGAGGUUAUGUCCUCUUUCUUGUCCACCUGAAUCAUCACAAAUGGAAAACACCAUACAAUCUUAAUAUUUUAAAAUCAGUCAAAUGACACAACCAGGGGGCUCUGGAUAUUGUCCUAAACUCAUCAGCUAUUCUAUAUUAGAAUUCAUGUGGUGGCUGCCACUGGAUCUAAUAGCCCCCAGGCCUACAUGGUGUCUAUCUUCUCUGCCCUCUAGCCUGUCCAAAAAGCCUUUUCUCAAUUUCAUCUCCCUCUCUUCCUACUGGGACCCAGAAAAUCUGCCUCUAUAUGUUUGCUCAGCGAUUGGCUUCUGCUGUCUUUAUUCUUUAUUUACCCAAUCAAACAUUGAGGGAAUCUCUCCCUGUGGAGUCUUAGGUAGACAAUUUGUGUAGUAGAUUUAUCAACUGAGGUUGAUACAACACUCAUCUCCAAUUGUUCUCUUAAGUUUGACAAGAUGUGAAUUUAUGUAAUGGUCUCUGUCUACU
This 1542-nucleotide long non-coding RNA is filed under the name Mus musculus (house mouse). RNAcentral describes it as "long non-coding RNA chr9:23319958-23321500". The record is from RNAcentral. Lineage: Eukaryota; Metazoa; Chordata; Mammalia; Rodentia; Muridae.